CCCCUACUUUGGGGGCAUCUGACGCAGCCAUGCCGCGUGAUGAAGAAGGCCUUCGGGUUGUAAAGUUCUUUCGGUGAGGAGGAAGGGGUGUUGUUUAAUAGGCAUCACGGUUGACGUUAAUCGCAGAAGAAGCACCGGCUAACUCCGUGCCAGCAGCCGCGGUAAUACGGAGGGUGCGAGCGUUAAUCGGAAUUACUGGGCGUAAAGGGCACGCAGGCGGCUAUUUAAGUGAGGUGUGAAAUCCCCGGGCUUAACCUGGGAAUUGCAUUUCAAACUGGGUAGCUAGAGUACUUUAGAGAGGGGUAGAAUUCCACGUGUAGCGGUGAAAUGCGUAAAGAUGUGGAGGAAUACCGAAGGCGAAGGCAGCCCCUUGGGAAUGUACUGACGCUCAUGUGCGAAAGCGUGGGGAGCAAACAGGAUUAGAUACCCUGGUAGUCCACGCUGUAAACGAUGUCGAUUUGGGGAUUGGGCUUUAAACUUGUUGCCCGCAGCUAACAUGAUAAAUCGACCGCCUGGGGAGUACGGCCGCAAGGUUAUAACUCAUAGGAAGUUUGUCGGGGG
This 561-nucleotide ribosomal RNA is filed under the name uncultured Haemophilus sp. Its description in RNAcentral is "bacterial SSU rRNA". It matches the Rfam family "Bacterial small subunit ribosomal RNA", at positions 359 to 919 of the family's 1533-position model. The record is from RNAcentral. Lineage: Bacteria; Pseudomonadati; Pseudomonadota; Gammaproteobacteria; Pasteurellales; Pasteurellaceae.